UUCUGAUUAGAUAAUGACUGUCACGUGUCAUUUUUUGAUUGGAUGACGACUUUAUGGACGAUGAAAUGCAUUAUUGUUGUCAUUGGUCAAUCAGAACAUGACACAUGACUGUCAUCGCCC
Non-coding RNA from Glycine soja, 120 nucleotides. Lineage: Eukaryota; Viridiplantae; Streptophyta; Magnoliopsida; Fabales; Fabaceae. The record is from Rfam.